AAGAAAGAGAGUUAACACUUAUUUUAUUACAGAAUUGCCACAAACCCAUGAGAUUUGAUUCAAACCCCGCGUUACGUGCAUAGAUAAAAUAAUGAAUGGGUCUUUCUAACGUAUGCAACAUUGCAUAGGAUAAGGUGUAAUAAAUUUACCUCUUGUUUCAACAAAAAUUAUCAUACUCCGUUUUAAAUUGUAUGUCACUUUAUAAAAAAUAUUUGUCAUAAAUUGUAUGUCGCUUUACAAUAUCAAUGAAAAAUAAAUGUUACUUUUCC
Molecule: long non-coding RNA, 269 nt
Filed under: Medicago truncatula (barrel medic)
Lineage: Eukaryota; Viridiplantae; Streptophyta; Magnoliopsida; Fabales; Fabaceae
Description: long non-coding RNA (MTRU_LNC005480)
Source: RNAcentral